Molecule: ribosomal RNA, 253 nt
Filed under: uncultured bacterium
Lineage: Bacteria
Description: partial 16S ribosomal RNA
Rfam family: Bacterial small subunit ribosomal RNA
Source: RNAcentral
UACGUAGGGGGCAAGCGUUGUCCGGAGUUACUGGGCGUAAAGCGCACGCAGGCGGUCUGCUAAGUUUGGAGUGACAGUUUUCGGCUUAACCGAGAAAGUGCUUUGAAAACUGACAGACUUGAGGGCUUCAGAGGGACACGGAAUUCCGGGUGGAGUGGUGAAAUGCGUAGAGAUCCGGAGGAACACCGAAGGCGAAGGCAGUGUCCUGGGGAGUACCUGACGCUCAGGUGCGAAAGCCAGGGGAGCGAACGGG